UAGGGAAUCUUCGGCAAUGGACGAAAGUCUGACCGAGCAACGCCGCGUGAGUGAAGAAGGUUUUCGGAUCGUAAAACUCUGUUGUUAGAGAAGAACAAGGACGUUAGUAACUGAACGUCCCCUGACGGUAUCUAACCAGAAAGCCACGGCUAACUACGUGCCAGCAGCCGCGGUAAUACGUAGGUGGCAAGCGUUGUCCGGAUUUAUUGGGCGUAAAGCGAGCGCAGGCGGUUUCUUAAGUCUGAUGUGAAAGCCCCCGGCUCAACCGGGGAGGGUCAUUGGAAACUGGGAGACUUGAGUGCAGAAGAGGGGGGUGGAAUUCCAUGUGUAGCGGUGAAAUGCGUAGAUAUAUGGAGGAACACCAGUGGCGAAGGCGGCUCUCUGGACUGUAACUGACGCUGAGGCUCGAGAGCGUGGGGAGCAAACAGG
RNAcentral lists this ribosomal RNA (429 nucleotides) under Gemmatimonadota bacterium. Its description in RNAcentral is "Gemmatimonadetes bacterium partial 16S ribosomal RNA". It matches the Rfam family "Bacterial small subunit ribosomal RNA", at positions 355 to 776 of the family's 1533-position model. Lineage: Bacteria; Pseudomonadati; Gemmatimonadota. The record is from RNAcentral.